Molecule: ribosomal RNA, 109 nt
Filed under: Clostridium botulinum
Lineage: Bacteria; Bacillati; Bacillota; Clostridia; Eubacteriales; Clostridiaceae
Description: partial 16S ribosomal RNA
Rfam family: Bacterial small subunit ribosomal RNA
Source: RNAcentral
UUUUUAUUGAGAGUUUGAUCCUGGCUCAGGACGAACGCUGGCGGCGUGCCUAACACAUGCAAGUCGAGCGAUGAAGCUUUUUCGGAAGUGGAUUAGCGGCGGACGGGUG